GACGAACGCUGGCGGCGUGCUUAACACAUGCAAGUCGAACGGAAAGGCCCUGCUGGUGUGGGGUGCUCGGGUGGCGAACGGGUGAGUAACACGUGAGUAACCUGCCCUUGACUUUUGGAUAACUUCAGGAAACUGUGGCAAAUACCGGAUAGGAGCUCCUGGUGCAUGGGGGGGGUUGGAAAGUUUCGGCGGUUGGGGAUGGCCUCGCGGCUUAUCAGCUUGUUGGUGGGGUAGUGGCUUACCAAGGCUUGGACGGGUAGCCGGCCUGAGAGGGUGCCCGGCCACAUUGGGACUGAGAUACGGCCCAGACUCCUACGGGAGGCAGCAGUGGGGAAUAUUGAAAAAUGGGCGGAAGCCUGAUGCAGAAACGCCGCGUGCGGGAUGACGGCCUUCGGGUUGUAACCCGCUUUAGCAUGUGACGAAGCGGGAGUGACGGUACUGGGUAAAGAAGCACCGGCUAACUACGUG
RNAcentral lists this ribosomal RNA (468 nucleotides) under uncultured bacterium. RNAcentral describes it as "partial 16S ribosomal RNA". It matches the Rfam family "Bacterial small subunit ribosomal RNA", at positions 28 to 507 of the family's 1533-position model. The record is from RNAcentral.